GAUGAACGCUGGCGGCGUGCCUAAUACAUGCAAGUCGAGCGAACAGACGAGGAGCUUGCUCCUUCGACGUUAGCGGCGGACGGGUGAGUAACACGUAGGUAACCUACCUAUAAGACUGGGAUAACUUCGGGAAACCGGAGCUAAUACCGGAUAAUAUUUCGAACCGCAUGGUUCGAUAGUGAAAGAUGGCUUUGCUAUCACUUAUAGAUGGACCUGCGCCGUAUUAGCUAGUUGGUAAGGUAACGGCUUACCAAGGCAACGAUACGUAGCCGACCUGAGAGGGUGAUCGGCCACACUGGAACUGAGACACGGUCCAGACUCCUACGGGAGGCAGCAGUAGGGAAUCUUCCGCAAUGGGCGAAAGCCUGACGGAGCAACGCCGCGUGAGUGAUGAAGGUCUUCGGAUCGUAAAACUCUGUUAUUAGGGAAGAACAAACGUGUAAGUAACUGUGCACGUCUUGACGGUACCUAAUGAGAAAGCCACGGCUAACUACGUG
This 497-nucleotide ribosomal RNA is filed under the name uncultured bacterium. Its description in RNAcentral is "partial 16S ribosomal RNA". It matches the Rfam family "Bacterial small subunit ribosomal RNA", at positions 28 to 507 of the family's 1533-position model. The record is from RNAcentral.